RNAcentral lists this transfer RNA (72 nucleotides) under Bos taurus (domestic cattle). It matches the Rfam family "tRNA". From Rfam's summary of the family: Transfer RNA (tRNA) molecules are approximately 80 nucleotides in length. Their secondary structure includes four short double-helical elements and three loops (D, anti-codon, and T loops). The record is from Rfam by way of RNAcentral. RNAcentral also lists the same sequence under 1 other name. Lineage: Eukaryota; Metazoa; Chordata; Mammalia; Artiodactyla; Bovidae.
UCCCACGUAGCUCAGUUGGAAAAGAAUCUGCCUGCAGUGCAGGAGACCCAGGUUCAAUUCCUGGGUUGGGAA